AUUGAACGCUGGCGGAAUGCUUUACACAUGCAAGUCGAGCGGCAGCGCGGGGGCAACCCUGGCGGCGAGCGGCGAACGGGUGAGUAAUACAUCGGAACGUGUCCUUAAGUGGGGGAUAGCUCGGCGAAAGCCGGAUUAAUACCGCAUAAGCUCUGAGGAGGAAAGCGGGGGCUCCGUAAGGACCUCGCGCUGUUGGAGCGGCCGAUGUCGGAUUAGCUAGUUGGUGGGGUAAAGGCCCACCAAGGCGACGAUCCGUAGCUGGUCUGAGAGGAUGAUCAGCCACACUGGAACUGAGACACGGUCCAGACUCCUACGGGAGGCAGCAGUGGGGAAUUUUGGGCAAUGGGCGAAAGCCUGACCCAGCAACGCCGCGUGAAGGAUGAAAUCCCUCGGGAUGUAAAACUUCGCAAGAACAGGAAGAAAUAAGUAGGGGAACGAAUACCCCCUAUGAUGACGGUACUGUUUGUAAGCUCCGCUAACUCCGU
Molecule: ribosomal RNA, 485 nt
Filed under: uncultured bacterium
Lineage: Bacteria
Description: bacterial SSU rRNA
Rfam family: Bacterial small subunit ribosomal RNA
Source: RNAcentral